GAUGAACGCUGGCGGCGUGCCUAAUACAUGCAAGUCGAGCGAACGGACGAGAAGCUUGCUUCUCUGACGUUAGCGGCGGACGGGUGAGUAACACGUGGAUAACCUACCUAUAAGACUGGGAUAACUUCGGGAAACCGGAGCUAAUACCGGAUAAUAUUUUGAACCGCAUGGUUCAAAAGUGAAAGACGGUCUUGCUGUCACUUAUAGAUGGAUCCGCGCUGCUUUAGCUAGUUGGUAAGGUAACGGCUUACCAAGGCAACGAUGCAUAGCCGACCUGAGAGGGUGAUCGGCCACACUGGAACUGAGACACGGUCCAGACUCCUACGGGAGGCAGCAGUAGGGAAUCUUCCGCAAUGGGCGAAAGCCUGACGGAGCAACGCCGCGUGAGUGAUGAAGGUCUUCGGAUCGUAAAACUCUGUUAUUAGGGAAGAACAUAUGUGUAAGUAACUGUGCACAUCUUGACGGUACCUAAUCAGAAAGCCACGGCUAACUACGUG
RNAcentral lists this ribosomal RNA (497 nucleotides) under uncultured bacterium. RNAcentral describes it as "partial 16S ribosomal RNA". It matches the Rfam family "Bacterial small subunit ribosomal RNA", at positions 28 to 507 of the family's 1533-position model. The record is from RNAcentral.